CAGUCGCCGCGGUAAUACGUGGGUGGCAAGCGUUGUCCGGAAUUAUUGGGCGUAAAGGGCUCGCAGGCGGUUUCUUAAGUCUGAUGUGAAAGCCCCCGGCUCAACCGGGGAGGGUCAUUGGAAACUGGGAAACUUGAGUGCAGAAGAGGAGAGUGGAAUUCCACGUGUAGCGGUGAAAUGCGUAGAGAUGUGGAGGAGCACCAGUGGCGAAGGCGACUCUCUGGUCUGUAACUGACGCUGAGGGGCGAAAGCGUGGGGAGCGAACAGGAUUAGAUACCCGGGUAGUCCCUGUCUCUUAUAC
Molecule: ribosomal RNA, 301 nt
Filed under: uncultured bacterium
Lineage: Bacteria
Description: partial 16S ribosomal RNA
Rfam family: Bacterial small subunit ribosomal RNA
Source: RNAcentral